Molecule: ribosomal RNA, 406 nt
Filed under: uncultured bacterium
Lineage: Bacteria
Description: partial 16S ribosomal RNA
Rfam family: Bacterial small subunit ribosomal RNA
Source: RNAcentral
GACGAACGCUGGCGGCAGGCCUAACACAUGCAAGUCGAACGAGUGGCGGACGGGUGAGUAAUGUCUGGGACACCGCCUGAUGGAGGGGGAUCACUACUGGAAACGGUAGCUAAUACCGCAUACCAUCAGAUGUGCCCAGAUGGGAUUAGCUUGUUGGUGGGGUAACGGCUCACCACGGAGACGAUCACUAGCUGGUCUGAGAGGAUGACCAGACACACGUGAACUGAGACACGGGCCAGACUCCUACGGGAGGCAGCAGUGGGGAAUAUUGCACAAUGGGCGCAAGCCUGAUGCAUCCAUGCCGCGUGUAUGAAGAAGGCCUUCGGGUUGUAAAGUACUUUCAGCGGGGAGGCGUUACCCGCAGAAGAAGCACCGGCUAACUCCGUGCCAGCAGCCGCGGUAAUUC